UGAUUUGCUAAAUUGCGGUCGCAAAAAGGGGGGAACCUUGGAUGCUUUUCACGUCAGUGUUUUCCAGAUAUGCGUCUGAACGUGACUAGUAAGUAUUCUCGCUCCUCUCUGUCUCCCUGGACUUCACUUCCCUGGCUUAUCAUACCGA
Molecule: ribosomal RNA, 148 nt
Filed under: Plasmodium cynomolgi
Lineage: Eukaryota; Apicomplexa; Aconoidasida; Haemosporida; Plasmodiidae
Description: partial 18S ribosomal RNA
Source: RNAcentral